Molecule: ribosomal RNA, 535 nt
Rfam family: 5.8S ribosomal RNA (bases 193-346)
GGAUCAUUACCGAGAUAGGGCCUUUUUUUCGGGACCCGACCCUCCCACCCUUUGUGUAUAUACCUCUGUUGCUUCGGCGGCACCCGUGGCACACGGCGUUGCGAGACACGUCGAGCCCGGCCCGCCAGAGGCCCAUUCAAUUCUGACUGUUAAACAGUGAAGUCUGAGCACACUUUUGCAAAAUAAAAUUAAAACUUUCAACAACGGAUCUCUUGGUUCUGGCAUCGAUGAAGAACGCAGCGAAAUGCGAUAAGUAAUGUGAAUUGCAGAAUUCAGUGAAUCAUCGAAUCUUUGAACGCACAUUGCGCCCUCUGGUAUUCCGGGGGGCAUGCCUGUUCGAGCGUCAUUACACCUCUCAAGCUCUGCUUGGUAUUGGGCUUGCGUCCCCUGUGGACGGGCCUGAAAAUCAGUGGCAGUUCAGCCGGUGCUCAAGCGUACUAAAUAUCAUAUCCCGCUUUGGAGUCACCGGGUGGACCCGCCAGACAACCCUUUUAUAUUUCAAUGGUUGACCUCGGAUCAGGUAGGGAUACCCGCU